Molecule: ribosomal RNA, 253 nt
Filed under: uncultured bacterium
Lineage: Bacteria
Description: partial 16S ribosomal RNA
Rfam family: Bacterial small subunit ribosomal RNA
Source: RNAcentral
UACGAGGGGGGCAAAUGUUGUUCGGAAUCACUGGGCGUAAAGGGAGCGUAGGCGGGUUUUUAAGUCAGGUGUUUAAUCCCGGGGCCCAACCCCGGACAGGCACUUGAAACUGGGAAUCUUGAAUAGUGGAGAGGUCAGUGGAAUUGGGGGUGUAGCGGUGGAAUGCGUAGAGAUCCCCAAGAACACCCGUUGCGAAGGCGGCUGACUGGACACAUAUUGACGCUGAGGCUCGAAAGCAUGGGGAGCAAACAGG